CGCGCAGGCGGCCAUUUAAGUUGGAUGUGAAAGCCUACGGCUCAACCGUAGAACUGCAUCCAAAACUAUUUGGCUAGAGUGUGGGAGAGGAAGAUGGAAUUAGUUGUGUAGGGGUAAAAUCCGUAGAGAUAACUAGGAAUACCAAAAGCGAAGGCAAUCUUCUGGAACAUUACUGACGCUGAGGCGCGAAAGCGUGGGGAGCAAACA
This 207-nucleotide ribosomal RNA is filed under the name uncultured bacterium. RNAcentral's name for it is "partial 16S ribosomal RNA". It matches the Rfam family "Bacterial small subunit ribosomal RNA", at positions 568 to 774 of the family's 1533-position model. The record is from RNAcentral.